This 403-nucleotide ribosomal RNA is filed under the name Verrucomicrobiota bacterium. Its description in RNAcentral is "Verrucomicrobia bacterium partial 16S ribosomal RNA". It matches the Rfam family "Bacterial small subunit ribosomal RNA", at positions 355 to 776 of the family's 1533-position model. Lineage: Bacteria; Pseudomonadati; Verrucomicrobiota. The record is from RNAcentral.
UGGGGAAUAUUGCACAAUGGGGGAAACCCUGAUGCAGCGACGCCGCGUGAGCGAAGAAGGUUUUCGAAUCGUAAAGCUCUGUCCUAUGAGAAGAUAAUGACGGUAUCAUAGGAGGAAGCCCCGGCUAAAUACGUGCCAGCAGCCGCGGUAAUACGUAUGGGGCGAGCGUUGUCCGGAAUUAUUGGGCGUAAAGGGUACGUAGGCGGUCUAUUAAGUCAGGUGUGAAAGCGUGAGGCUUAACCUCAUUAAGCACUUGAAACUGAUAGACUUGAGUGAAGGAGAGGAAAGUGGAAUUCCUAGUGUGGCGGUGAAAUGCGUAGAUAUUAGGAGGAAUACCGGUGGCGAAGGCGACUUUCUGGACUUUUACUGACGCUGAGGCGCGAAAGCGUGGGGAGCAAACAGG